Molecule: long non-coding RNA, 1094 nt
Organism: Dama dama (fallow deer)
Lineage: Eukaryota; Metazoa; Chordata; Mammalia; Artiodactyla; Cervidae
Exons: 5
Source: RefSeq, a predicted model, not a curated record
UUGUAACAAGUUCCCAGGUGCUGCUGCUGCUGCUGGUCGAAGCGUGCCUGCUCAGUCGCUCAGCCACGUCAGACUCUUUGUGGCCCUAUGGACUGUAGCCCGCCAGGCUCCUUCCCCUGUCCAAGGAGUGCUCCAGGCAAGAGUAUUUGAGUGGGUUGCUGUUUACUGCUCCGGGAAAUCUUCCCAACCCACCCGAGUCUCUUGCAUCUCCUGCAUUGGCAGGAGGGUCUUCCACUGGUGCCACUUGGGGAACCCUGCUGCUGGCCCAUGGUUACCAUUUUGAGUCACUGAUUUAAAGUAUAGAUCCUCAUACAGAGAGAGCUGUAACCGGACCACAGGUCUGAGGACGGGGACUUCCUGCCUGAUUCAUCUCUUCUGGAAAUACAGCACUGUGUGGAAGAGGCAAAGACUCUGCUCAUCUACUUUAGAGUGAGGGAUGCAGUCAAUACAUGAAUGAGUCUACUGGGACUCCUGAAGGUGAAAAACCUGUUUAAGGUCAUAAAACCCCUUCAAGAUCACAUGGCUGGUUUGUGCUCAGGAAGAAGAUUCCUGCCUGUCUGGCUAGGGAGUAGUCCCCGUUUUGGUAACAAGGAGUGAGAUCUGAAGCUGAUUGCGAAUGGCCUGUGGGACAAGGAGACGCUCAGACCAGGCGUCCACUGAAGCCUUCCAGCUCACAGAGCCGCUCGGCAUCACCGAGGGCCGGGGGUUCAAUCUCUAAGGAGGUGAAUGAAAAUAUAUAUCUUGGGCAAUUUGACCCCCAUCAACAUCAUGCAUCGUGGUUACUCUGACAUCUGAAGAGGAGCAAUUCUGCCCUGUCAACUUGGAGACUCAAAGCUGCUGGUAAAGGUCACUCCUUCCUUCACCUUUAGCCACUGGAUAUCAGAUUGAAACUACAGUGAGGAGAUAUGGAAAAUGUGUUCUACAUCUUCUGUCAAAUUAGCCUAAUCCUCAUUAAAUUGUACUGCUAAUUCAGCAUGUUCCAGAGGCUCCUGACACUAUGAGAAAUGCCACCCUAUGACUUUAAAGGGCUUAAAGGAUAUGAGGCUUCUUGGUUUGAGUCAAUUCUUUGCUGAUACAUCCUGGGGAUAAGGGGG